UAGAGACAGCGCCAGGGCAAGUGUGAGCCGGACGGGCACUGGGCGACUCUGUGCCUCGCGGAGGAAAAGCGAUCAAACAUGGGCAAAGGAGAUCCUAAGAAGCCAAGAGGCAAAAUGUCAUCAUAUGCAUUCUUUGUGCAAACUUGCCGCGAGGAGCACAAGAAGAAGCACCCGGAUGCUUCGGUCAACUUUUCAGAAUUUUCCAAGAAGUGCUCAGAGAGGUGGAAGACCAUGUCUGCUAAAGAGAAAGAAAAAUUUGAAGACAUGGCAAAGGCUGACAAAGCCCGUUAUGAAAGAGAAAUGAAAACUUAUAUCCCCCCUAAAGGGAAAACAAAAAAGAAAUUCAAGGACCCCAAUGCACCUAAGAGGCCUCCGUUGGCCUUUUUCUUGUUUUGUUCUGAGUAUCGCCCCAAAAUCAAAGGAGAACAUCCUGGCCUAUCCAUUGGUGAUGUUGCAAAGGAACUGGGAGAGAUGUGGAAUAACACUGCUGCAGAUGACAAGCAGCCUUAUGAAAAGAAGGCUGCUAAGCUGAAGGAAAAAUACGAAAAGGAUAUUGCUGCCUACCGAGCUAAAGGCAAGCCUAAUGCAGCCAAAAAGGGAGUUGUCAAAGCCGAAAAAAAGCAAGAAAAAGAAGGAAGAAGAGGAAGAUGAAGAAGAGGAUGAGAAUGAGGAAGAAGAGGAAGAUGAAGAAGAUGAAGACGAAGAGGAAGAUGAUGAUGAUGAAUAAGUUGGUUCUAGCGCAGUUUUUUUUCUUGUCUAUAAAGCAUUUAACCCCCCUGUACACAACUCACUCCUUUUAAAGAAAAAAAUUGAAAUGUAAGGCUGUGUAAGAUUUGUUUUUAAACUGUACAGUGUCUUUUUUUGUAUAGUUAACACACUACCGAAUGUGUCUUUAGAUAGCCCUGUCCUGGUGGUAUUUUCAAUAACCUUGCCUGGUACAGUAAGGGGGUUGUAAAUUGGCAUGGAAAUUUAAAGCAGGUUCUUGUUGGUGCACAGCACAAAUUAGUUAUAUAUGGGGAUGGUAGUUAUUUUUUAUUAUUUUGUUUCAUCUUCAGUUGUCUAUGAUG
This is an RNA transcript of Erinaceus europaeus (western European hedgehog), 1067 nucleotides long. It is a transcript of the gene named high mobility group protein B1-like, with no coding region annotated. NCBI's taxonomy places the organism in Eukaryota, Metazoa, Chordata, Mammalia, Eulipotyphla, Erinaceidae. The record is from RefSeq and is a predicted model, not a curated record. The transcript has a single exon.